GGGAGUUCCGCCACUGGACGUGCCAGAGUUGUUAGCAUAUUUGGUUAGACAGUCAAGCCCCUUUUUGGAUCAAAUUGGCAUAAGAAAAGAUAUCUCAGACAAGAUCGUUGAGAGUUUAUGCAGCAAACGGCGAAACAAGCUAUUACCUGAAGGAGAUUGUUCCCUGAUCGAAGGCGAUAAUAUGAUUGAUGAACUAGAACUACGAAUUGCCAGUGUACUACAAAGUACUGGUCAUCAUUAUGAAGGUGGGUUUUGGAGCAAUUCGACAAAGCAAAACGUAUCAGAUGGUAAAAGACAUGUAGCCAUAGUCACAACUGCUAGCCUUCCGUGGAUGACCGGAACAGCUGUCAAUCCUCUCUUCCGAGCGGCUUAUUUGGCCAAGUCUGAAAAGCAGAACGUUACACUCUUGGUUCCAUGGCUAUGUAAAUCGGACCAAGAACUAGUUUAUCCAAACAAUCUUACAUUUAGUUCACCAGAAGAGCAGGAACUCUACAUACGGAAUUGGCUUGAGGAAAGAGUCGGUUUCAAGACUGAUUUCAAGAUCUCGUUUUAUCCUGGAAAGUUCUCCAAGGAAAGGCGAAGUAUACUACCAGCUGGAGAUACUACUCAGUUUAUCCCAUCACGGGAUGCUGAUAUUGCAAUCUUAGAGGAGCCAGAACAUCUAAACUGGUACCACCAUGGCAAACGUUGGACUGAUAAG
Molecule: unclassified non-coding RNA, 700 nt
Filed under: Hevea brasiliensis (rubber tree)
Lineage: Eukaryota; Viridiplantae; Streptophyta; Magnoliopsida; Malpighiales; Euphorbiaceae
Source: RNAcentral